UGCCAGCAGCCGCGGUAAUACGUAGGGAGCAAGCGUUGUCCGGAAUUACUGGGCGUAAAGCGUGCGUAGGCGGUUCAUUAAGUCGGAUGUGAAAGCCCUGGGCUCAACCUGGGACGUGCAUUCGAUACUGAUGAACUAGAGUCUGAAAGAGGUUGGCGGAAUUCCCGGUGUAGCGGUGAAAUGCGUAGAUAUCGGGAGGAACAUCAGUGGCGAAGGCGGCUGACUGGUUCAAGACUGACGCUGAGGCACGAAAGCGUGGGGAGCAAACAGGAUUAGAUA
RNAcentral lists this ribosomal RNA (279 nucleotides) under uncultured bacterium. Its description in RNAcentral is "partial 16S ribosomal RNA". It matches the Rfam family "Bacterial small subunit ribosomal RNA", at positions 506 to 784 of the family's 1533-position model. The record is from RNAcentral.